ACUCCUACGGGAGGCAGCAGUGGGGAAUCUUGGACAAUGGGGGCGAACCCUGAUCCAGCCAUGCCGCGUGAGUGAUGAAGGCCUUAGGGUCGUAAAGCUCUUUCGCCUGUGAUGAUAAUGACAGUAGCAGGUAAAGAAACCCCGGCUAACUCCGUGCCAGCAGCCGCGGUAAUACGGAGGGGUUAGCGUUGUUCGGAAUUACUGGGGCGUAAAGCGCGCGUAGGCGGAUUAGUCAGUUAGAGGUGAAAUCCCAGGGCUCAACCCUGGAACUGCCUUUAAUACUGCUAGUCUUGAGUUCGAGAGAGGUGAGUGGAAUUCCGAGUGUAGAGGUGAAAUUCGUAGAUAUUCGGAGGAACACCAGUGGCGAAGGCGGCUCACUGGCUCGAUACUGACGCUGAGGUGCGAAAGUGUGGGGAGCAAACAGGAUUAGAUACCCUGGUAGGAUACG
This 448-nucleotide ribosomal RNA is filed under the name uncultured bacterium. Its description in RNAcentral is "bacterial SSU rRNA". It matches the Rfam family "Bacterial small subunit ribosomal RNA", at positions 335 to 799 of the family's 1533-position model. The record is from RNAcentral.